AUGAUGGAGAGCGAGACCCCACCCACCUCUCCGCCUCAUGAAGCGGGCGACACCGAGGUGUCGUCACGGAGGAGUCCGGAUCUACCGAAGAUGGAAGCUAAUACGUCAGCCGCCCUGAGCCCGGAGCGUUUGGCUCCCACGGGAGGUGAUGAGAAGGGUCCGACACAGUUCGAUGUCCGGCCGGACAUACUGACAGGCCUUUUGGAGCGAGCUGCACUCUCGGAGGAGCACCGCUCAUUAAUGAGCAGGGUGCUCAAGGGGCUUUCAUCCGCUACAAGUGGUUUGAAUGAAGCAUUUACAAGCCUGCUCAGAGGCUUUGAGGUAUCUAAGGGUCCGGCAGCCAACCAGUCUGUUGAAGUUGCCGAGCUAAGGAGGCAGAUCGGAUCUAUUGAUGCCGAUAUCACGCUGGUGAACAAGCGGCUGAACGAGUCACAAGAUGGUGCUGCUGCCGUGGAAGCCCUGAGGGCGGAACUUGCCCAAGCCAAGGAACAAGCUCGGGUUAGCAAUGCGGCUGCCCUAAAGGCGGCCGAAGAAUUGAGAGCCGAACAGGCUGCUCAUCGCCGAAGCGAGGAUAAUAUAGCCGAAAUGACUGAGGAGUUGAAAAAUGCCCCCGACCGGUAUGAACUCCUUGAAAAGGAGAAUAAGGCUAGUUCUGCAGACCUGAACAAGGCACUUAAUGCCACCAAGGAGAUGCGGACCAAGGUCAGGGGUGUGCGGGAGGAGCUUCAACAGGCUGGUAAAAUCGCGGCUAGGGGCUCCUACUUACUGCGGACGAAGUAUUUGGAUCCGAAGUAUGCUCUCCUGGAUGGACACUGGAGUCCUGCAGAUGCGUAUGCGGACUUGGCGAAGAGUACAACUGAUGCAGCCAAGUUUUUCGAGGAUCUAGGUGAUAAAGAAGUGGAGAAGCUUUUCUGGUUGCAAUUCAAUGCUCCCGUGUGCCCGCUGCCGUUAAGUGAGAAGAUGUCUGCUGUAGCGGAGCUUCAUAGGCUGUUUGGGCUUGCAAUGCGGUCUGUAAUAGACCAUCUUUGGCCGAAGGGGCCUAAGCCGGACAGUUACUUUGGUUUGGUGCAACAAUUCCUUGGGGCCGUGCCUCAGAUCGACGCCAUGAGAAGGUCAGCGUGCAUAGAGGGUGCACGAGUGGCUCUUGCCCGUGUUAAGGCCUAUUGGACAGAUAUGGAGGCCACCAUUGUAGCGACCCAGAAUCCGGCGGGAGGCCAGUAUCCGGUCGAGCACUACAUGGAGCAGGUAACAGAAGGUGCCCGCUUAAUAGGGGUGCAGUGCUCGAAGAAUGUGUUGUUCGAGUGA
RNAcentral lists this ribosomal RNA (1305 nucleotides) under Triticum aestivum (bread wheat). RNAcentral describes it as "partial small subunit ribosomal RNA". Lineage: Eukaryota; Viridiplantae; Streptophyta; Magnoliopsida; Poales; Poaceae. The record is from RNAcentral.